UCUCCGUAGGUGAACCUGCGGAGGGAUCAUUACAGAGUUCUCGCCCUCGCGGGUAGAUCUCCCACCCACUGUUAUCGUUACUGUGUUGCUUUGGCGAGCCGCCGGGCCCCGCUCGGCCGCCGGCUCCGGCUGGCGCCCGCCCGCCAGAGGCCCAGCAAACUCUGAAUGUUAGUUUCGUCUGAGUACUAUAUAAUAGUUAAAACUUUCAACAACGGAUCUCUUGGUUCUG
This 229-nucleotide unclassified non-coding RNA is filed under the name plant metagenome. RNAcentral's name for it is "partial contains small subunit ribosomal RNA, internal transcribed spacer 1, and 5.8S ribosomal RNA". The record is from RNAcentral.